This 1104-nucleotide long non-coding RNA is filed under the name Homo sapiens (human). RNAcentral describes it as "long non-coding RNA NONHSAT059662.2". The record is from RNAcentral. Lineage: Eukaryota; Metazoa; Chordata; Mammalia; Primates; Hominidae.
CUCACCACCACAUGCGCCCCGGGCAGGGCGAGGGGCUUGGGGCUGAUGAGCGGAGACACCAUGUACAGCAGCAGCACGAAGGCCACGAGGAAGGCGGCAGCCAGCAGCAGCAUCGCUCCGCGGGGCCAGGGGCCCGGAGCGGCCGGGCGGGGGCCGCCGGGCAAGGCGCGCAGGGCUGGGCUGCGGCGAGGCGAGAAUCACGCGCGGCGGGCGGGCGCCUGGAGUGUUUGGGUUUGCGGGCCGGGGCGGGCCGCGGCGGAGGGGAAGAGGAGGAGCCGGCGCGCGCGCCACCCAGGCGGGGCGGUGCUUCCAGGGGGCGAGUAGGCCGCCACCGCCACCGCCACCGCCACCACUGCCAGAAUCGCCUCUCGGGGGUCGCCGGGUGUCUCCCACUCCCCCGGCCUCGGGACGGGGCCCGCAGUCCGCAGCCUCUCCCGUGGAAACCGGGCCUCCCGUCCCUGUGCGUCGCGAGCGGGCUCCGGACAGCGCCAGAUGCGAGCGCGCCGGGAAGGGCUGCGAAGACUCGCUCUUCGGGAGCUCGAAUGGCUUCUUAGGACCCCGCAGGGCGGGUUUCCAGGCCUGCCACGGCCUCCAGUGUGGGCGUGACGAGCGCUCCUCCCUGGAGUUCAGCCCUCGGCUUGGGACUGCCCGCUGGGUUGCUCGGAGGCCCCGGAGCAUCGGAAAGGGCGGCUGGAGGCUCCCGGAGCGGGCUCAGCCUGGGAGCCCAGCGACUACGCUCUGAAAUCCCGGGCUCCAUUCCAUAUUUUUUGGCGUUUUUAGAAGAUGGUCACGGCCCACUUUCGCUUUUCAGAGGACCGGAAAGCCUUAACAGGGAGUUUUGAGGAAUCACUAAGAGGCAUUGAAGCUUCCGGGAUUGGGAGUAAGCUGCCAUGGAAAGAAACUCAGGCUGGACUACUGCAUGAUGAGAGAUCACAUCAAAGAGAACAGUCCAGCCAGCCCAACUUGAGACACCAGACAUGUGAUGGAGCCAUCUUGGAUUCCUCACCCCAGCCAACACCAUGUGGAGCAGAGGCAAACCCUCUCCAUGGAGUUCUGCCUGAAUUGCAGACUUGUGAAUAAUAAUAAAUGGCCAUUUUAAGCCGU